AUUGAACGCUGGCGGCAGGCCUAACACAUGCAAGUCGAACGAGUGGCGGACGGGUGAGUAAUGUCUGUGAAACUGCCCGAUGGAGGGGGAUAACUACUGGAAACGGUAGCUAAUACCGCAUACAAUCGGAUGUGCCCAGAUGGGAUUAGCUAGUAGGUGGGGUAACGGCUCACCUAGGCGACGAUCCCUAGCUGGUCUGAGGGGAGGACCAGACACACUGGAACGGCGACCCGGCCCAGACUCCUACGGGAGGCAGCAGUGGGGAAUAUUGCACAAUGGGCGCAAGCCUGAUGCAGCCAUGCCGCGUGGAUGAAGAAGGCUUUCGGGUUGUAAAGUACUUUCAGCGAGGAGGCGUUACUCGCAGAAGAAGCACCGGCUAACUCCGUGCCAGCAGCCGCGGUAAUUC
Molecule: ribosomal RNA, 406 nt
Filed under: uncultured bacterium
Lineage: Bacteria
Description: partial 16S ribosomal RNA
Rfam family: Bacterial small subunit ribosomal RNA
Source: RNAcentral